Molecule: long non-coding RNA, 501 nt
Filed under: Equus asinus (donkey)
Lineage: Eukaryota; Metazoa; Chordata; Mammalia; Perissodactyla; Equidae
Description: lncRNA (ENSEASG00005032727.1, ENSEASG00020033068.1)
Source: RNAcentral
GGGUUAGCGUCCAACCUCCUUUCUCCGCUUCAGCCCCGCCCGCCCUGCUAUUCUCCUAGCCGCUUCUCCCGCACAACCUACGGGGGGAGAGGCGGGGCUGGGGCUCCAGCCGCCCUAGGAGAUCCUCCCCUCCUCCCGCCUGCUUCCCCGCCUCGCUCCCUCUCCCGUCUUUUCUCUUUCCUCCUCUCUCCUCCCCACCCCCCCCCGCCACUGGCCCCUCCCCGCCCUCUCCCACCUCCCUCCACCCUCCCCCCUCCUCCCUCCGCGCCUGGGCCGCUGAAGGCUGAGUCAUCGCUGCGGCGCUGCCGGGAGAGCAGGCGAGCAGCUCACAUCCCACCGCGAUGUGGCCGACAGGAUUCCGGACUUUCGGGAGAAUAUGGUGGAAACUGGAGCUGUUCGCCGUGCACGGGGGUCCGCAGAUCUAAAGAGUCAAGUGCUGUGAGACCCCGUGGGAAUUAGCAAACCCCUCUGAUCCAGUGACUAUUGCUGAGAUGGGCAGAC